Carassius gibelio (silver crucian carp) is the source of this 1477-nucleotide long non-coding RNA. RefSeq lists it as uncharacterized. NCBI's taxonomy places the organism in Eukaryota, Metazoa, Chordata, Actinopteri, Cypriniformes, Cyprinidae. The transcript is spliced from 4 exons. The record is from RefSeq and is a predicted model, not a curated record.
AAACUACCUUUAACUCUUUGCCCGCCAGCAUUUUUAAAAAAAGUUGCCAGCCAGCGCCAGGGUUUUUGACAAUUUUCGCUAAACUUUAAUGGCCCACAGAAUAUUUUCUUCUAUGAAUAUAUGAACAUGUUACAUAUCAAAAUAAAGAUCUGAGUCUCUGCUUUUAAACAAAAAAAAAUAUUUUAUUUUAUCUUCAUUUAUUAUUUUUUUAUUGCCACCUGAACAUAGAUAGGUUUUGUCAAAAACACAACAUUCUGGACAAAAAGCUGAGAAAAAGCCAUUUUUAUGAAACAAGUGCAUUUUCAAGCAGAAUACAUUCAGAUGUCAUUUUAACAUAUAUAAAACCUUCCAAAAUAUAUUACAAUUAAACAUAAAUCUAAUUAAAUUUAGGCACUGUAAUUUGCUUUUGAGUGGUACACAGAGUAACAUUUCCCAGGAUGUAAGGGGACGCCACAACUUUUGCAGUAGAACGAGGUCUCCUUCCGCAACCCCUUACGUACACAAACUCUGCAUCCUCUGGUUGGGUGUUGCUUUUUGGGAGUGGGCAGGAUUGGAACAAGUUCAUGAACAGCAAAACUGACAUUCAGUCUGUUUUUUGGGUCAGUGUUGUAUGGUGCUCUUGGAGUGUUUUCAGUAGCACUUUUCUCCCCACCACUAGCACACUCUUGGCUGGUCCAUGAUUUUAUAACACUCUGGAUGAAUGAGAGAAGAGUGUUACAAUUACCCUGUGGGUUUUUCGCUUUGUAAAUGAAAAAAGCGUUGAACAAACUGAUCUGAAACAGGUACAUGACAAAUUUCUUUGUCCACACUGUAAAAUUUUUCCAGGAUUUCACAAGAUAUAACUGUAAUAUUUCACAGUUAAUUACAUUAUUACCACUUCACAGGCUUUAACUGUGAUAAUUCACAAUAUAAUACCGUAUUUAGACUUUUACUGUGAAAAUAAUGCAGGCGCGGGGCUUUUACAAGAAACUACUGUGAAUGCCGUCUUUUUUGAGUGGCAACUGCGGCAGCGUCAUCAGAGCGUCAUCAGAGCUCUCUGAUCUACGUGGUCUCAUUCGGUGGAUUCAGACAGCGCAUUUUCUACAUUGACCAACGAUAAAUAAAGUUAUAAGGUGCUUCUUGGGCAUCAACCCAGAGACGGGCACAAAAUCUAAGAGGCAGAGAGGUCACAUGAACCAGCAAGUCUGCACUCUUAUCAGGAAGCUCAUUGACUUCGAAUGGAUGUCAAUCUAAUUGGAUAGAACCCACACUAUGCAGGUUCCAGCUGCGAGGGAAGGAGAGAGACACCUGCGACCCUCUCUAUUCCCACCUUUUUGUCUUUUCUUACAUCUCUCUCCCUCACUCUCUCUUCUCUGUCUCCUUUCUCUUUUGACACACAUUCCUGUUACCCAGUGUCAAUCCCUGUUGCCCAGUGUUUUAUUCAUGUAAUUAAAUUGUAUUUUACUUCUAAAAAAUAAAAGUUAUGUCACUGUUUUUA